UGAAACAAGGAAGCAAAAAUGCAGCAGACCCUUGAUAUCACUGAAACUGCUACGAUUAAUUGCCAUGGCUGAAGCUGAAGAGACCAGAAAAAUGUGAGCAAGCUGAAGUAAUAAAAUCAAAUGGAAUCAACAGCGAGCUGUCUUCCUCUGCUGGAAAUGGAAAGCCCGUUCCUCCUGGUGAGGAAGGAUCACCGUUAAUAGUGAUCCGAAUAACAGAUCACGAACAUAAAAGGGAAGGUUACUGUUCUGAGGGCCGGCAACUCGAAGAGGAGCAGCUCAGCCUGUUUUGUUGAUUUUGGUGAUACUGUUUUGAGGAAGCAGGUAAGUACAGAAGGGGUCUGGGAGGCUUUUCAAACAAGAUGG
RNAcentral lists this long non-coding RNA (363 nucleotides) under Dromaius novaehollandiae (emu). Its description in RNAcentral is "lncRNA (ENSDNVG00000006864.1)". The record is from RNAcentral. Lineage: Eukaryota; Metazoa; Chordata; Aves; Casuariiformes; Dromaiidae.